This 185-nucleotide non-coding RNA is filed under the name Bacillus manliponensis. RNAcentral's name for it is "Bacillus sp. BL4-6 6S / SsrS RNA". It matches the Rfam family "6S / SsrS RNA". Rfam says of the family: E. coli 6S RNA was the first non coding RNA to be sequenced, but its function was unknown until recently. It consists of 184 nucleotides that fold into an extended hairpin structure with a large single-stranded internal bulge. Lineage: Bacteria; Bacillati; Bacillota; Bacilli; Caryophanales; Bacillaceae. The record is from Rfam by way of RNAcentral.
AUAUUCCUACGAUGUACGUAAUUUUUUGUAUGUCUUAAACCAAUGAGUGUAAUACGGAAGUUCGAUAUUUGAAUAUAGCCAUCAAGCCUUUCAAUCGAAAAGGAAGAUGAAAGUAUUUGUGAGAACAUCCACCUGCGAGAGCGGGUUUAUGGACAUCUGGAGAGAACGGCAUAUGUGGGGCUUAA